RNAcentral lists this ribosomal RNA (468 nucleotides) under uncultured bacterium. RNAcentral describes it as "partial 16S ribosomal RNA". It matches the Rfam family "Bacterial small subunit ribosomal RNA", at positions 28 to 507 of the family's 1533-position model. The record is from RNAcentral.
GACGAACGCUGGCGGCGUGCUUAACACAUGCAAGUCGAACGGAAAGGCCCUGCUUUUGUGGGGUUCUCGAGUGGCGAACGGGUGAGUAACACGUGAGUAACCUGCCCUUGACUUUGGGAUAACUUCAGGAAACUGGGGCUAAUACCUGAUAGGAGCUCCUGCUGCAUGGUGGUGGUUGGAAAGUUUCGGCGGUUGGGGAUGGACUCGCGGCUUAUCAGCUUGUUGGUGGGGUAGUGGCUUACCAAGGCUUUGACGGGUAGCCGGCCUGAGAGGGUGACAGGCCACAUGAGGACUGAGAUACGGCCCAGAAUGCUACGGGAGGCAGCAGUGGGGAAUAUUGCACAAUGGGCGGAAGCCAGAUGCAGAAACGCCGCGAGCGGGAUAACGGCCUUCGGGUUGUAAACCGAUUUCGACGGUGACGAAGAGUGAGUGACGGUAAUGGGUAAAGAAGCAACGGCUAACUACGUG